AGCUUGUUGGUGAGGUAAAAGCUCACCAAGGCGACGAUCUGUAGCGGGUCUGCGAGGAUGAUCCGCCACUCUGGAACUGAGACACGGUCCAGACUCCUACGGGAGGCAGCAGUGGGGAAUUUUGGACAAUGGGGGCAACCCUGAUCCAGCCAUGCCGCGUGAGUGAAGAAGGCCUUCGGGUUGUAAAGCUCUUUCAGCCGGGAAGAAAACGCAUGGGUUAAUACCCUGUGUGGAUGACGGUACCGGAAUAAGAAGCACCGGCUAACUACGUGCCAGCAGCCGCGGUAAUACGUAGGGUGUGAGCGUUAAUCGGAAUUACUGGGCGUAAAGCGUGCGCAGGCGGUUUUGUAAGACAGGCGUGAAAUCCCCGGGCUUAACCUGGGAACUGCGUUUGUGACUGCAAGGCUAGAGUACGGCAGAGGGGGGUGGAAUUCCACGUGUAGCAGUGAAAUGCGUAGAGAUGUGGAGGAACACCAAUGGCGAAGGCAGCCCCCUGGGUCGAUACUGACGCUCAUGCACGAAAGCGUGGGUAGCAACAGGAUUAGAUACCCUGGUAGUCCACGCCCUAAACGAUGUCAACUAGGUGUUGGGAGGGUAAAACCUUUUAGUACCGGAGCUAACGCGUGAAGUUGACCGCCUGGGGAGUACGGCCGCAAGGUUAAAACUCAAAGGAAUUGACGGGGACCCGCACAAGCGGUGGAUGAUGUGGAUUAAUUCGAUGCAACGCGAAAAACCUUACCUACCCUUGACAUGCCAAGAACUUUCCAGAGAUGGAUUGGUGCCCGAAAGGGAACUUGGACACAGGUGCUGCAUGGCUGUCGUCAGCUCGUGUCGUGAGAUGUUGGGUUAAGUCCCGCAACGAGCGCAACCCUUGUCGUUAAUUGCCAUCAUUUAGUUGGGCACUUUAACGAGACUGCCGGUGACAAACCGGAGGAAGGUGGGGAUGACGUCAAGUCCUCAUGGCCCUUAUGGGUAGGGCUUCACACGUCAUACAAUGGUCGGUACAAAGGGUCGCCAAGCCGCGAGGUGGAGCCAAUCCCAGAAAGCCGAUCGUAGUCCGGAUCGCAGUCUGCAACUCGACUGCGUGAAGUCGGAAUCGCUAGUAAUCGUGGAUCAGAAUGUCACGGUGAAUACGUUCCCGGGUCUUGUACACACCGCCCGUCACACCAUGGGAGCGGGUUCCGCCAGAAGUAGGUAGCCUAACCGCAAGGAGGGCGCUUACCACGGCGGGGUUCGUGACUGGGGUGAAGUCGUAACAAGGUAGCCGUAGGGGACCUGCGGCUG
RNAcentral lists this ribosomal RNA (1284 nucleotides) under metagenome. Its description in RNAcentral is "bacterial SSU rRNA". It matches the Rfam family "Bacterial small subunit ribosomal RNA", at positions 243 to 1520 of the family's 1533-position model. The record is from RNAcentral.